GACGAACGCUGGCGGCGUGCUUAACACAUGCAAGUCGAACGGAAAGGCCCUGCUUUUGUGGGGUGCUCGAGUGGCGAACGGGUGAGUAACACGUGAGUAACCUGCCCUUGACUUUGGGAUAACUUCAGGAAACUGGGGCUAAUACCGGAUAGGAGCUCCUGCUGCAUGGUGGGGGUUGGAAAGUCUCGGCGUUUGGGGAUGGACUCGCGGGUUAUCAGCUUGUUGGUGGGGUAGUGGCUUACCAAGGCUUUGACGGGUAGCCGGCCUGAGAGGGUGAACGGCGACAAUGGGACUGAGAUACGGCCCAGACUCCUACGGGAGGCAGCAGUGGGGAAUAUUGCACAAUGGGCGGAAGUCUGAUGCAGCAACGCCGCGUGCGGGAUGACGGCCUUCGGGUUGUAAACCGCUUUCGCCUGUGACGAAGCGUGAGUGACGGUAAUGGGUAAAGAAGCACCGGCUAACUACGUG
RNAcentral lists this ribosomal RNA (468 nucleotides) under uncultured bacterium. RNAcentral's name for it is "partial 16S ribosomal RNA". It matches the Rfam family "Bacterial small subunit ribosomal RNA", at positions 28 to 507 of the family's 1533-position model. The record is from RNAcentral.